Molecule: RNA transcript, 8278 nt
Organism: Eriocheir sinensis (Chinese mitten crab)
Lineage: Eukaryota; Metazoa; Arthropoda; Malacostraca; Decapoda; Varunidae
Gene: spn-E
Gene name: ATP-dependent RNA helicase TDRD9-like
Exons: 31
Source: RefSeq, a predicted model, not a curated record
GUUCAUGAAGCGGACGUGUAUUGGACAUAAGAACCCCGGGCUGCCCCAAGGUCACAAUGUCUGGGUCCAGAAGCUUCACAGGAAGUGCGAGUGACUUCAUAGACUGGUUCAAUGGAACAGAGUUUGAAAAGGUUGUUCUUCCCGCCAACAAGGUCAGCACCGUGAAGCAGGAUUUCAAGGAGGAGGAAUGUUUCUUGCCCCCGCUGCCAGAAGCUCUUCGACAAGAGCAAGGGAAAGCAUAUGCCCUUCAUUACCAAGAGGAGUUCCUGAAUCAGUUGAAGGAAUUGAAUGCUAAGAGAGAAGCCAAAGAGCAGGUGGAUGGAGCUGAUGGAACCCUGGAUGAAGACGAACUGGCGUCAGGAGGCAGCGAAGACGAUGGCACGCGGAGGACUGAUGUCUACCUGCACUACGACUUCACCACCAAGCACCUGGAGCCCACCCUGCCAAUCUUCAAUGCAAGGAAGGAAAUUCUUGACAAAAUUUCCAGCUAUCAAGUUGUUAUUAUUGAAGGAGAAACUGGGUGUGGCAAGUCCACCCAGGUGCCCCAGUUCAUCCUGGACGAGGCCGUGGACAAGCACCAGCACUGUAACAUUGUGGUCACACAGCCACGCAAGAUUGCAGCGUCUUCCCUGGCCAGAAGAGUGUGCAGGGAGAGAGGCUGGCAGCUGGGGAAGCUGGUUGGCUACCAGGUGGGGCUGGACACUUGUCGGGACACAGACACGCGCCUCCUCUAUGUGACAACGGAAACCCUGGUGCAGAAGCUCAUCCACCAGCGCCGCCUGGAUGCCUACACCCACAUCAUCCUGGACGAGGUGCACGAGAGAGACCAGCAGACAGAUUUUGCUCUGCUCAUUGUGAAAAAGUUGAUGCACAGAGUUUCUCCAAAUGUGAAGAUCAUACUGAUGUCAGCCACCAUCAAUGCCUCCAAGUUUGCCGAGUACUUUUCCAUCCCUGUCAUGGGCAAGCUGUCUCCUGCCCCCAUCGUGUCUGCAGGGGAUGAGUCCGUGCAUGAUGUGGUGAUCUAUUAUUUGGACUCACUGCUCAAAGUGUGCCAGAAAAAGCCGAGAGUAUUGCCGCACCUCCCAACAAUUGACCCUGACGACCCCGGCGUGUCUGAAGAAAUGUUUAACCUGACCGUUGAGAUGAUUAAGUUUUUUGAUGAGAUUGAAAGAGAAGACCGACGCACCUCAACAGAACCUGUCAAGAAAAGAGGAGCAGUGUUGGUGUUUCUUCCUGGUUUGGUAGAAAUAGAGAAGCUAAUGAAUAUGCUGGCCAGAGAGUCUGCAAAGUUUCAGUGGCAGUUGUACCCGCUGCACUCCUCCAUCACCAAAGAGGAGCAGCAGAGCGUCUUCAUCAUACCACCAAUAGGUUUUCGGAAGAUCAUCAUCUCGACGAACAUUGCCGAGAGCUCCAUAACCGUGCCAGACAUCAAGUACGUGAUAGAUUUUUGCCUGACCAAAGUGCUGACAUGUGAUGAGGUAACCAACUAUACAUCUCUCAAGCUUGCCUGGACCUCCAAAGCCUCCUGCAAGCAAAGAGCAGGGAGGUGUGGUAGAGUCUCCUCUGGCAGAGUGUACCGGCUGGUUCCCCCUGCAUUCUAUGAGACGCUGCCAGAAUAUGCCACCCCAGAGAUGUGCCGCACGCCUCUCAGCCAAGUGAUCCUCAAGAGCAAAGUGUUGGACAUGGGUGAACCGCACUCCAUCCUGGCCCUGGCCCUGGACCCUCCCGACAUGAUGGACAUUUGCCGCACAGUCCUGACGUUGAAGCAGCUUGGUGCUCUGUCUGUCACUGCCGAUGGAUGCAGGUCUCAUUUGAACGGUGACAUGACCUAUUUAGGGAAGGUCAUCGUUCACCUUCCCAUUGAUCCCCAUUUGGCAAAGCUAAUUGUGAUGGGUCACAUUUGUGGCUGCCUCAGGGAGUGUAUCAUCAUUGCUGCAGCGUUGUCACUGAAGUCUUUCCAUGCCCGACCUUUUCAAGAUGAACUCAACGCCUUCCUCUCCAAGGUCUCGUGGGCAUAUGGCUCCUUCUCCGAUUGCCUGGCAGCCCUCAACACAUAUGAUCUUUGGCAGAGCAUGCAAAGCAGGGGAGAAUUUCUCAUGCCUGGCGGCAAGACUGAAGAAGAGUGGGCCAAGCACAGCUACGUGCAGCUGAACACACUGCAGGAAGUGCACAAGCUGGUGGAGGAACUCAUGGAGCGACUGAAGAGGGUGAAAAUUACUGUUCUGAAUCAUCAGAGCACAUCGAGAAAGGAACAGACCCUGAUCCUCAAGAUGUGCAUGGCAGCUGCCUUCUUCCCACACUACUACAGAAGAGUUGUGCCCGAAGAUUACCAGCAGGAAAUGUGUAGAGAACUCAGUGGACACGACCCUUUCCGAACAGUGAUAGUUAGCGGGAUCCCUGCGGCAACAAACAUCAUUUAUGACUCCCAGAUAAGGAGUCUGUUCAAGGAAUGCUCCCAGAACCUUGUCAUCAGCUAUGAGGGAUCAAAGGCAUUUAUCCAGUUCCCGUACCUGGACGGGUCAUCUGUGAAAGAGGAGCAUUUCCAGAACAUUCCCGGGAGCUGUCCCACCACCAUGCACCUUGCCCUCAAGAUGCGGCAGGUGCCAAGAAUCACCCAAAGCCUCUGCUUAGAUUUGAUAAGUCUUAAAGAUUCUAAAGAGCAAUUUCAAGAAAUUCUUGGACCCACCGUCGACCAUUAUGGCGCCACUCGUGUGGUGAGCAGCGAGGACGCCCAGCCACCGCGUUCCAUCCUUGCCAAGCGCUACGUGAGAGUCACCCAGCCAGCCAGCAGCGCUCUCAAGCCCCCAGUGCUGCCUCCUCCCACAAACCACACAUGGGAUGUUUAUGUCACUCAUGUCGUUACAGCUGGAAACUUUUGGGUGAUAUCAAGCGAGAGGAAUAAUAUCAGUAACCUAAAAUACAUGGAGCAGGUCAUCAUGAAUUCAGUGAAGAAUAUGACUCCUCUCCCUCCCUCUGCAAUAAGCCUCGGCGCAGUGUGUCUUGCCUCCUUCACUGACAGCCAAGGGAUGCAGGCUUACUACAGAGCCAGAGUGGAGGACACCUUCUCUGCUCAAGAUGGGAAGCUCAAAGCAGUGGUUUUCUAUGUGGAUUAUGGGAACAGUGAAGUCGUGGAUGCAUCAGAUUUAAGAGUUCUUCCCAAACGACUACGAGAAGUGAACAUGUUGGCCGUCCAGUGUUUGCUUGCAGAGGUAAAGCCCGCUGCCAAGUACUCCAAUGGGUCCUGGGGCUCAGAUGCAACUUCUUGGCUGCGGAGCUUUGCCCUCAACAAGAACUUCACAGUCCAGAUCUACAGUGUGGUGAGCGGGGUGCUGCGGGUGAACCUCCUAGGGCUGGAGAGGGGAAAGUUCAUCUCUGUCAAUGAGCAACUUGUGUCCAAGGGAUUUGCUGUCAAGGCAGAAGAGUUUUUCUUAUCCAAGCAAAACCAUGAGUUAAGAGCAAUAUACAGCAGCGAAACUGAGGCUUCAUGUCAAGAAGACAACAUAACACCUGCAGCCCUUUCAUCUAGUUCACUGACCUGCUCCAAGUACCCUCCUACAUAUGCGGCCAAGGUAAAACUCCGGGGACCUGACUCUCCUCUACUCAUGAAAUUUGCUGCACUGACUCGCAGCGGGAGCUCCAAGCCUGUAAAGAUGAAUACCUCUUCAGUAAACUCAACUGCCCUGGACCUGGAGCCACAGAACCCACAUGGCAGACUCCUAGUGGCGGGGCACGUGACUUUGAAUCCGUCAAGGUCCGCAGCAACCCUACACAACACCACGCUGAUGCCGGCCAUCCCAGGGAUUCUUCCAAUUUGUCUCCUCUUGUUUUGUCCUGUGGCAGAAAUGAGAGUCAACAGUGGAGGCAGCCACUACACCGGAGCCUUGAUUGGCUUGGGCUGUGAUGAGAGGACGGGUCAAGUCAUUUAUCCUGCUGAUGAUAUUGAGAUUGCUUUUGAUAUCAGCAUCACACAAGAGGAUCUUAUGGUGAUGAAUAAGAUACGCUUUUUGCUGAAUGUUGUGCUGGAAGAUGCUGAGUACAUACCAGAGGCCACCCUGAUUUCAACCCAGAAGUUCCUGCGCCAACUUAUCCUCAAGUUGUUGGAUGAAAAGCGAGAAUACAAGGAGCCGGAAAUGUGCCGUUUUGCCUACUGCUGGAACAUGGUACCACAGGAAGACACCUUGUUCCCUGAGGUUGGGGCAGCCUUGGACAAUACUGACACGGUGUUGUUUCCUCUCCAUAAAGGAAUAUGCCUUCGUCCUGACAAUCAUGAGAAAGAGAUGAAAGAAACUUCCUGAGCUGAGGCCCUACUCCACAGGUGGGGAUACCAGCUAAAUGGAGGCUGUCAGGGCCAAAUGCAUAUGUGCCUUUGAGGAGGGACUACAAACCCUUGCCGGGUGACAGCUCAUGACAGGGAGGGAGGAUGCCGAUAGGCUGAGGCCCAUAUUCUCGUCUCGCAACAUGAUCCGUGAAGUAAAACCUAGCAAUUUCAAGGUUGGUUUCUUCUUCAGUCCAGCCAUGAGCCAUGAAUUGGGAGUGAGCCGCACUUUUCUCAACACUGUGAAGGACCUCCAGCAACAUCUGUCCUCCACUUUGCACACAAAAAAAUGAAGCUAAAUUUCUUUGCUGAAUAGACAGCUUAUACAGUAUAAGUAAAUUUUCAUAUCAAUCAUAAGGAUAUCAAGUACUGAUAUAGCCAACACAAUUAAUAUAUAUUAUUUUAUUUAUCAAUUUUGCUAAUAGGAUGAGUUUCAGCUAACUGUAAAACAAGUCUGUGUAUUACUUCUUUAUAUUAUCAAUAUGAGUUAUGUUUGUGUUUGACAUAGCUGUGUGUGCCUUUGUUGUGUUGCAAGGCAUAGCUUGUGCCAAACUUCAUAUUUGUAACACCUGAAUGGCUUGGAGAUGGAUCAUUGUAGUGCAGUAACUUGUAGCUGUUAAGCAUCAUUUGGGAUUUGGUACUUAGCAAGUUCAAAGGUUGUCAUCACACAUUCCAGAACCAGAACCUUUAAUCUUGUUCAGAACUUUUUAUAUGAAAAUUACUCAAAAUAUUUUUUUUGGUUUGUAUUUUUUAUUUAUGUAAAUUAUUUCGUGUAGAUACAUGAGAGAAUUUAGAUGUUUUUUUUAAAUUGGAUUCAAAUAAAAUCAGCAUAAAAUCAGAUAGUCUGUUAAAGACUUUUAGAAAAAUGAAUUUUCAGAAAAUGUAAACUAACCUGUUUUUUAUGCAAGUAAUAUUAGCUUUGUUAAAAUACCUUUUUACAUAAUAUUUUCUGUAACUAGCCAUUAUUAUUAUUAUUUUUUAAACUACCAGAAAAAGGGAAUUACAUGUCCUUGGGAGUUGCCAAGAAGCUUGAUUGGUGGAGCUCCAGCCCGAGGUGCAGGACUAAUGACUGGAUUCUCUCAAGCAGUAAUGCUUGGUGAUUGUACAAAAGUUUGAUAAUCCAGAAUCCUGCCAGCAAGCAGUAAGAGGAGUUGCAGGAUUUUCUCAAUAACUUUUGGGGGAAAUUACAACCAUGCUUGAAUGUGCAGUUGACAAAUUUAGGCAUUGCCUUACUUAACCCUUUCCACAUUGGUUUUUGACCUUAAAAGUAAUUAAAAUGUCAUUUGUUGUAAUACUGUAACUACUCUAUUACAGAAAUUACCAUCACCUCUGGAACAUGAUUUGUAACAUUGAGGACCCGUUAUCAUGUCAAGGCAAGAGUUUCAUUCAAUCUGUUUUUCAGCAAGUCAAACAUCCUCGUACAGGUAUUGGCAGAGCUUGAAUUACCAAAGUACACUAAUAACAACUAAAGGCCUUUCAGACCUAUUGUAUUACCAUGCUCCAGUUUUCAGUUGUGAUUGCAUUUUAUUAAUUUCAGUGGAGGUCAUCAUAUAUAGUCCACAUUUCUGUAACGCGUUAGUUACACCAUAAUAAUGAAUGGCAAUUUAAUUACUUUUCAGGUCAAAACAAGGUGGAUGGAAAGGUGUUCUCAAAAGUCAAAUUAGAAAGAUACCGGAAGUAAAUCUUGAUGUCCAAUAUGCAAAAUGAAAUAGUGAAAGUAAGCUAAGCACUAUGUUGUUUUACAAAUAAAUUUUGCUGCUGCCUUUUCCGUGAAGCAGCUCUCCCAAAAUAUUAGUGAUUGAUUGAUAUGUGAAUAUGUAUUGCAGAACACUGUACUCUUCAAAUUGUCGUUGGCCUCAUAGGAGGCGGUAUUGAAAAAUGUACAAGACUACAUUUUGUAAAACAAAGAGAAUAAAUGACAUUAAUUUUCCUUUCCCAUGCUCAUGCAGUGGCUAAACUUAGGCUGUGGACAUGCCAAGCUACUGUCAGUACCUUUGAAACUGUAAUUAGCAACUAGUUUUUCUAAGUGAAAAUUACUCAAACGUUUCACUAUUCGCAAAGACUUGUUCUUACUAGAGUGAAGGAGUAGUGAUGGGACAUGGCUUCCCCUCCUCUGUAUUGUAAGUGUGUUCCACGCAUGCCACUUGCUGUGGGAGAAGAAAGUCCAAAACACCGCAGGCCAAGCCAGUCCACUGCAAGACUUCCUGAUGAAACCCACUGUUGUUCUGUGCUAUGCUACCAGGUAUGGUAGCAUGUAGAUAGGUAUGGUAUGAACAUACUUCUUUUACACCUAGCAAGCCUCAAACACCUGUACCUAAGUCUUGGCCCAGGAGACCUUGAGUCCCAAGGAUUUUGCCACCUGCAGUGCCUUGAGAACCAUCACCAGAACCUGUUGGCAGUAACCUCCUGUGUGUUGACAGUAACCUGUCAACAUAGAGCAGGGUGGAUGGCCAAACAUCCACCAACACCAAGCUGUGCAUAGUCAAUAGUUAUUUCGUAUCGUCAAGGUACAGUUAGUAUACUUGACAUUAAAUACUUAAUUUUAAACUCACCAAGGGAAGAAAUGAUGGCACACCUAGUAGAAAUGUGUACAGCUGUGUGGCCAAGUUACCCAUAGCAGCAACAAUUGGGUCUGAAUGGUCGACUUCAGAUGGCUGGUGGGGCAAGAUUUACACAGCCUUUUAAUAUAUGCAGACUCCUGUGUAAUUCCAUGAUGCAUAUACUAUAGUCAGCUCUAGCUUUGAUAGAGGAAAAAAUAACUUGGAAUUAAUGCAGCCAGUUUUAUAUCCAGAAAUGGAAUAGUACAUGCAUGUUGUAGAUACAGCUAACAUGAACUAGUUUCUCCAGCACCUAAUAAGGCUGCUAUGAGACUCCCUCUGCCAAUGAAACUCGUGAAAGAAUGACAAUGGACACUUGUAGCGACAAGGAAAGCCCAUGUAAUAACUAGGGGUAACUGCACCCUAAAAGCUUCAUAUAUAUUACGUUCAGUACACAUGCUUUGCAGUAGGGAUGUACCAAUGUAUCAGUAUCGAAGUAUCGGCCCAUUUUUAGAGUGUCAGUAUUGGCUGAUGUACUGCUGAUACUACCAAAUACCUAAAAACUUAUUGCAUUGCAUAUUACUUGCUUCAAGUUAUUUUGUUAAGUAGAAAUUGGAUAUUUUAUAGUAAUGAAAAAUUAAUUAUUGGUAAUAGUAAAUUAUCUAGUAUCAUACUAUUUUGAGCACACGGUGCAUUGUAAUGCAGAAAAUUAGUAGCGAGCCACAACUGCUACUGUGAAUGUGUAUGAGACACGGUGGUGGUGCUGGGCACUGGGCCUGCCACAACCUGCACCCUUCACAUGACCUCACGCUGCAGUCUGCUGCGGGCUGCCUAUGAGAUAACAUUAGUUAAGGUUUCCCAGCUUAUAUAAUUUUUCUUAUUGGUAGCUCUUGCUACAUGGGGAACUUUCUACUCACAAGUGGUCCAUAAUAAACAUUUCUUAGUCUUAACCCUUACACCCCGUCAGCCACGAUCGUGGCUUGUACGUUAGAUUCCGUCACACCACGAUCAUGGCGCUCUUCAAAUAUCGUCCUCAUUUUGACACAGUUUGUUUAUGUUCGAGGCUAUGUGUCGUACAUCAAGCCCUAUCAUUGGCCCUUUUGUUUCCAACAUGCUGGAUGCUUGGCCAAUCACGUCCCAGCUUUUACAAGGAUUUGUUUAUGUUGUAUUUGGGCUCCAGAUUUUCCCGGGAUGAGUACACGGUCACGAUGUGUGCUGUAUUUUAUCAUUUUUUUUUACCCAUUUCUAGGCAAGAUAGCAGAUAUAUAUGUAUUUCCAUGAGUAAAUAAGUACUUCAGGCACAUGAUGUGAUAGAUGACAAUACAUGAAUUUUUUUUUUUUUCUUAUUAUUGACCUAGAUAAGGAUGAUGUCAGAUGAUGAGUGUGAGGUGAUACUGGAGGUUUCCCAUCUAGAGGAAUAUAUAAG